This 460-nucleotide ribosomal RNA is filed under the name uncultured bacterium. Its description in RNAcentral is "partial 16S ribosomal RNA". It matches the Rfam family "Bacterial small subunit ribosomal RNA", at positions 338 to 795 of the family's 1533-position model. The record is from RNAcentral.
CCUACGGGAGGCAGCAGUGAGGAAUAUUGGUCAAUGGCCGGAAGGCUGAACCAGCCAUGCCGCGUGAAGGUCAGUGCCCUAUGGGCGUUACACUUCUUUUGUGCGGGAGCAAUAAUGGUCACGUGUGGCCAGACGAGAGUACCGUACGAAUAAGCCUCGGCUAACUCCGUGCCAGCAGCCGCGGUAAUACGGGGGAUGCAAGCGUGAUCCGGAUUUAUUGGGUGUAAAGGGUGCGUAGGCUGUGAGGUACGUCAGCGGUGAAAUGCCCCCGCUCAACGGGGUGAAGUGCCAUUGAUACUGCCGUGCUGGAAUGCGGAUGCCGUGGGAGGAAGGUGUGGUGUAGCGGUGAAAUGCAUAGAUAUCACACAGAACACCGAUUGCGAAGGCAUCUCACGAAUCCGCGAUUGACGCUGAUGCACGAAAGCGUGGGUAUCAAACAGGAGUAGAUACCCCAGUAGUC